GUAGCGGAAGCAGCGGUGGACUUCAUUCGAGUGAGAAUGCCGGAAUGAGUAGCGAGAAUUAUGUGGGAAUCAUAAUGGCCGAAAAUCUAAGGUUUCUUGGGGAAGGUUCGUCCGCCCAAGGUAAGCCGGGAGCUAAGGCGAGGCCGCAAGGCGUAGUCGAUGCACAUACGGUAGAAAUUCCGUAGCCGCCGAACUUUAAGCAUGCUGACACUUUGGAAUAGGGGAACCCGGGCGUUGGUUGACCCGGGCGUAAGGGACCGAAAAAUAGUAGGGAAGUCCUUGAUGUCCAGAGGCGAGAAAAGGCAUGUGGUAUACUAAGGCGCCCGUACCGCAAACCGACACAGGUAGAUGAGGAGAGAAUCCUAAGGCCAACGGGAGAAGGGUUGUUAAGGAACUCGGCAAAAUGACCCCGUAACUUCGGGAUAAGGGGAGCCUGCGCGAGCAGGCCGCAGAGAAUAGGCCCAAGCGACUGUUUACCAAAAACACAGGUCUAUGCUAAAUCGAAAGAUGACGUAUAUGGGCUGACGCCUGCCCGGUGCUGGAAGGUUAAGAGGAGAGCUUAGUCGCAAGGCGAAGGUUUGAAUUGAAGCCCCAGUAAACGGCGGCCGUAACUAUAACGGUCCUAAGGUAGCGAAAUUCCUUGUCAGGUAAGUUCUGACCCGCACGAAUGGCGUAACGAUUUGGGCGCUGUCUCAACAGCCCACCCGGCGAAAUUGUUGUACUGGUGAAGAAGCCAGUUACCCGCAACUAGACGGAAAGACCCCAUGGAGCUUUACUGUAGCUUAAUACUGGAAAUCGGUAAUUCAUGUACAGGAUAGGUGGGAGACUUGGAAGCCUCGGCGUCAGCUGAGGUGGAGUCACCCUUGGGAUACCACCCUUGAUUUGCUGGUUUUCUAACCUGCGGCCGUGAAUCCGGUCGGGGGACACUGUUAGGUGGGCAGUUUGACUGGGGCGGUCGCCUCCAAAAAGGUAACGGAGGCGCUCAAAGGUUCGUUCAGCACGGACGGAAAUCGUGCAGUGAGUGUAAACGCAUAAACGAGCCUAACUGCGAGACCGACGGGUCGAGCAGUAACGAAAGUUGGAGUUAGUGAUCCGGCGGUAUGUGAGUGGAAAUGCCGUCGCUCAACGGAUAAAAGCUACCCUGGGGAUAACAGGCUGAUCUCCCCCAAGCGUCCACAGCGACGGGGAGGUUUGGCACCUCGAUGUCGGCUCGUCGCAUCCUGGGGCUGUAUUCGGUCCCAAGGGUUUGGCUGUUCGCCAAUUAAAGCGGCACGCGAGCUGGGUUCAGAACGUCGUGAGACAGUUCGGUCCCUAUCUGUUGCGGGCGUA
Molecule: ribosomal RNA, 1329 nt
Filed under: human gut metagenome
Description: bacterial LSU rRNA
Rfam family: Bacterial large subunit ribosomal RNA
Source: RNAcentral